AGGGCUAUAGCUCAGUUGGUAGAGCACCUCGUUUACACCCCCGAGAAAGG
RNAcentral lists this transfer RNA (50 nucleotides) under Polypremum procumbens. RNAcentral's name for it is "partial transfer RNA-Val". Lineage: Eukaryota; Viridiplantae; Streptophyta; Magnoliopsida; Lamiales; Tetrachondraceae. The record is from RNAcentral.